GGAAAGGCGGGGAGAAGAGGCGGUUGCUUUCGUAUGUGUGGGAAAGUUUUUGGCGACGAGGACGACGUGUAAAGCGUGAAAAAGGCAUUCCUGGAAAGUGCAAUUACAUCUUUUUUCUGAAACAGGACGACCCCAGCUGAGAUAGUGACUAGAGCAAAAAGCGCCGACAUUUGAGAUGGCGGGCGACGACCAGCUGAGCCACAAAGAGACGAGUGACGUCCGUCUUUUGGAAGGCUGAUUUGACCAACAUUUACCAAUUACAGGACUGCAGGAAUAAGGAAGAAAAGCUCUGACUCUUGGGGAGAAGUCGUUUGACGUCAGGAGAUCCGGGCUCUGCUGUUUGUUGGAACAUCUGCAUGUGGGGUUCUUUUUUUUUCCUGUGCUUGCCUAAGUCUUCUCCACCCCAUCCCAAAAAGCAUCCAUGUAAUUGAAGACUAAAUUGUCCAAUUAUAUGAAUGUGAGUGCUUGUUCGUCUUUGUGUCCUGUGAUCAGGGGCGCGGUGAGGGGAUGGUGUUGGACAGGGGUCGGCAACCCGCGGCUCUAGAUCCGCAUGCGGCUCUUUAGCGCCA
Long non-coding RNA from Nerophis lumbriciformis (worm pipefish), 569 nucleotides. RefSeq lists it as uncharacterized. Lineage: Eukaryota; Metazoa; Chordata; Actinopteri; Syngnathiformes; Syngnathidae. The record is from RefSeq and is a predicted model, not a curated record.